RNAcentral lists this transfer RNA (72 nucleotides) under Capra hircus (goat). It matches the Rfam family "tRNA". From Rfam's summary of the family: Transfer RNA (tRNA) molecules are approximately 80 nucleotides in length. The record is from Rfam by way of RNAcentral. Lineage: Eukaryota; Metazoa; Chordata; Mammalia; Artiodactyla; Bovidae. RNAcentral also lists the same sequence under 1 other name.
UCCCUGGUGGCUCAGACGGUAAAGAAUCUGCCUGCAAUGCAGAAGACCCAGGUUCGAUCCCUGGGUUGGGAG